This 665-nucleotide ribosomal RNA is filed under the name Priestia megaterium. RNAcentral's name for it is "bacterial SSU rRNA". It matches the Rfam family "Bacterial small subunit ribosomal RNA", at positions 69 to 718 of the family's 1533-position model. The record is from RNAcentral. Lineage: Bacteria; Bacillati; Bacillota; Bacilli; Caryophanales; Bacillaceae.
UGAUUAGAAGCUUGCUUCUAUGACGUUAGCGGCGGACGGGUGAGUAACACGUGGGCAACCUGCCUGUAAGACUGGGAUAACUUCGGGAAACCGAAGCUAAUACCGGAUAGGAUCUUCUCCUUCAUGGGAGAUGAUUGAAAGAUGGUUUCGGCUAUCACUUACAGAUGGGCCCGCGGUGCAUUAGCUAGUUGGUGAGGUAACGGCUCACCAAGGCAACGAUGCAUAGCCGACCUGAGAGGGUGAUCGGCCACACUGGGACUGAGACACGGCCCAGACUCCUACGGGAGGCAGCAGUAGGGAAUCUUCCGCAAUGGACGAAAGUCUGACGGAGCAACGCCGCGUGAGUGAUGAAGGCUUUCGGGUCGUAAAACUCUGUUGUUAGGGAAGAACAAGUACGAGAGUAACUGCUCGUACCUUGACGGUACCUAACCAGAAAGCCACGGCUAACUACGUGCCAGCAGCCGCGGUAAUACGUAGGUGGCAAGCGUUAUCCGGAAUUAUUGGGCGUAAAGCGCGCGCAGGCGGUUUCUUAAGUCUGAUGUGAAAGCCCACGGCUCAACCGUGGAGGGUCAUUGGAAACUGGGGAACUUGAGUGCAGAAGAGAAAAGCGGAAUUCCACGUGUAGCGGUGAAAUGCGUAGAGAUGUGGAGGAACACCAGUGGCGA